RNAcentral lists this ribosomal RNA (433 nucleotides) under uncultured bacterium. Its description in RNAcentral is "partial 16S ribosomal RNA". It matches the Rfam family "Bacterial small subunit ribosomal RNA", at positions 29 to 507 of the family's 1533-position model. The record is from RNAcentral.
AACGAACGCUGGCGGCAUGCCUAACACAUGCAAGUCGAACGAGACCUUCGGGUCUAGUGGCGCACGGGUGCGUAACGCGUGGGAACCUGCCCUUAGGUUCGGAAUAACUCCCCGAAAGGGGUGCUAAUACCGGAUAAUGUCUUCGGACCAAAGAUUUAUCGCCUUUGGAUGGGCCCGCGUUGGAUUGGCUAGUUGGUAGGGUAAAAGCCUACCAAGGCGACGAUCCAUAGCUGGUCUGAGAGGAUGAUCAGCCACACUGGGACUGAGACACGGCCCAGACUCCUACGGGAGGCAGCAGUGGGGAAUAUUGGACAAUGGGCGAAAGCCUGAUCCAGCAAUGCCGGGUGAGUGAUGAAGGCCUUAGGGUUGUAAAGCUCUUUUACCCGGGAUGAUAAUGACAGUACCGGGAGAAUAAGCUCCGGCUAACUCCGUG